GAUAAACGCUGGCGGCGUGCCUAAUACAUGCAAGUCGAACGAGGAGUUCUUGUAGCAAUACGGGGACUUCCUAGUGGCGAAUGGGUGAGUAACGCGUUGGUGACCUGCCCCGAAGUGUGGGAUAACAGUUCGAAAGGACUGCUAAUACCGCAUGUGGACACGAGGGUUAGAGGCUUUGUGUCUAAAGCAGUAAUGCGCUUUGGGAGGGACCUGCGUCCCAUCAGUUAGUUGGUAGGGUAAUGGCCUACCAAGACUUCGACGGGUAGGGGACCUGAGAGGGUGGUCCCCCACACUGGCACUGAAACACGGGCCAGACACCUACGGGAGGCAG
This 331-nucleotide ribosomal RNA is filed under the name uncultured Chloroflexota bacterium. RNAcentral's name for it is "bacterial SSU rRNA". It matches the Rfam family "Bacterial small subunit ribosomal RNA", at positions 28 to 351 of the family's 1533-position model. Lineage: Bacteria; Bacillati; Chloroflexota. The record is from RNAcentral.